AGAGUUUGAUCCUGGCUCAGGACUAACGCUGGCGGCGUGCCUAACACAUGCAAGUCGAACGAGUUGUUUAUAGUAGCAAUAUUGUGAACAGCAAGUGGCGAACGGGUGAGUAACACGUAGAUAAUCUGCCUUUCAGACGGGGAUAACUCAGGGAAACUUGUGCUAAUACCCGAUGAGACUACGAGGGGGGACCUUCGCAGCCAAAGGUGGGCGAAAGCUCACGCUGGAAGAUGAGUCUGCGUCCUAUCAGCUAGUUGGUGGGGUAAAAGCCUACCAAGGCGAAGACGGGUAGCCGGCCUGAGAGGGUGAACGGCCGCACUGGGACUGAGACACGGCCCAGACUCCUACGGGAGGCAGCAGUGAGGAAUUUUCCGCAAUGGGCGCAAGCCUGACGGAGCGACGCCGCGUGAGGGAUGACGGCCUUCGGGUUGUAAACCUCUUUUAUUAAGGAAAAAGGCAAUCGUGCUAACACCACGGUUGUUUGAUGGUACUUAUUGAAUAAGCCCCGGCUAACUACGUGCCAGCAGCCGCGGUAAUACGUAGGGGGCGAGCGUUGUCCGGAGUUACUGGGCGUAAAGAGCGUGUAGGCGGUUGAAAAAGUCAGGUGUGAAAUUCUUCGGCUCAACCGAGGGACUGCGCCUGAAACCUUUCGACUGGAGUUCGGGAGGGGCAACUGGAAUUCCUGGUGUAA
RNAcentral lists this ribosomal RNA (691 nucleotides) under bacterium AK-MB28. RNAcentral's name for it is "bacterial SSU rRNA". It matches the Rfam family "Bacterial small subunit ribosomal RNA", at positions 8 to 678 of the family's 1533-position model. The record is from RNAcentral.